This 1428-nucleotide ribosomal RNA is filed under the name Acinetobacter baumannii. RNAcentral describes it as "partial 23S ribosomal RNA". It matches the Rfam family "Bacterial large subunit ribosomal RNA", at positions 1291 to 2703 of the family's 2925-position model. Lineage: Bacteria; Pseudomonadati; Pseudomonadota; Gammaproteobacteria; Moraxellales; Moraxellaceae. The record is from RNAcentral.
CGAAUGCUGACGUGAGUAACGACAAAACGGGUGAAAAACCCGUUCGCCGAAAGACCAAGGGUUCCAGUCCAACGUUAAUCGGGGCUGGGUGAGUCGACCCCUAAGGCGAGGCCGAAAGGCGUAGUCGAUGGGAAAAUGGUUAAUAUUCCAUUACUUCUGUGUAAUGCGAUGAGAGGACGGAGAAGGCUAAAUCAGCCUGGCGUUGGUUGUCCAGGUGAAAGGAUGUAGGCAUGUAUCUUAGGCAAAUCCGGGGUACUCUAUGCUGAGAUCUGAUAGCAAGCUGUACUUGUACAGCGAAGUGGUUGAUGCCAUGCUUCCAGGAAAAGUCUCUAAGCUUCAGUUACACAGGAAUCGUACCCGAAACCGACACAGGUGGUCAGGUCGAGUAGACCAAGGCGCUUGAGAGAACUCUGCUGAAGGAACUAGGCAAAAUGGUACCGUAACUUCGGGAGAAGGUACGCUGUUGUUGGUGAUGGAACUCGCUUCCUGAGCUGACGACAGCCGCAGAAACCAGGCCGCUGCAACUGUUUAUUAAAAACAUAGCACUCUGCAAACACGAAAGUGGACGUAUAGGGUGUGAUGCCUGCCCGGUGCUGGAAGGUUAAUUGAUGGGGUUAGCGUAAGCGAAGCUCUUGAUCGAAGCCCCAGUAAACGGCGGCCGUAACUAUAACGGUCCUAAGGUAGCGAAAUUCCUUGUCGGGUAAGUUCCGACCUGCACGAAUGGCAUAAUGAUGGCGGCGCUGUCUCCAGCAGAGGCUCAGUGAAAUCGAAAUCGCUGUGAAGAUGCAGUGUACCCGCGGCUAGACGGAAAGACCCCGUGAACCUUUACUGCAGCUUGACACUGAACUUUGACCUUACUUGUGUAGGAUAGGUGGGAGGCUUUGAAGCUGGAACGCUAGUUCCAGUGGAGCCGUCCUUGAAAUACCACCCUGGUAAUGUUGAGGUUCUAACUCUGUCCCGUGAUCCGGGACGAGGACCGUGUCUGGUGGGUAGUUUGACUGGGGCGGUCUCCUCCUAAAGAGUAACGGAGGAGUACGAAGGUGCGCUCAGCGUGGUCGGAAAUCACGCGUAGAGUAUAAAGGCAAAAGCGCGCUUAACUGCGAGACCCACAAGUCGAGCAGGUACGAAAGUAGGUCUUAGUGAUCCGGUGGUUCUGUAUGGAAGGGCCAUCGCUCAACGGAUAAAAGGUACUCUGGGGAUAACAGGCUGAUACCGCCCAAGAGUUCAUAUCGACGGCGGUGUUUGGCACCUCGAUGUCGGCUCAUCUCAUCCUGGGGCUGAAGCAGGUCCCAAGGGUAUGGCUGUUCGCCAUUUAAAGAGGUACGCGAGCUGGGUUUAGAACGUCGUGAGACAGUUCGGUCCCUAUCUACCGUGGGCGCUGGAAAUUUGAGAGGAUCUGCUCCUAGUACGAGAGGACCAGAGUGGACG